UUGACAGCCCUGGAGACUGAAACCUGCUGUUCCCAGAGCAGGUAUAGCCAGGGCAGUGGCAGUGCAAACUCCCUGCUUAUCCAGUCCUGUUCUGGAGGGACCCCAGCUCGAGAGGAGAGAGGGCAGUUCAGCCUCCAUUGGGCCUUCAGCCCUUGGCCUGU
This 161-nucleotide small RNA is filed under the name Chrysemys picta bellii (western painted turtle). RNAcentral's name for it is "TUC338 (ENSCPBG00000001753.1)". The record is from RNAcentral. Lineage: Eukaryota; Metazoa; Chordata; Testudines; Emydidae.